This 560-nucleotide ribosomal RNA is filed under the name Enterobacter hormaechei. RNAcentral's name for it is "bacterial SSU rRNA". It matches the Rfam family "Bacterial small subunit ribosomal RNA", at positions 879 to 1437 of the family's 1533-position model. The record is from RNAcentral. Lineage: Bacteria; Pseudomonadati; Pseudomonadota; Gammaproteobacteria; Enterobacterales; Enterobacteriaceae.
ACUACGGCCGCAAGGUUAAAAUUCAAAUGAAUUGACGGGGGCCCGCACAAGGCGGUGGAGCAUGUGGUUUAAUUCGAUGCAACGCGAAGAACCUUACCUACUCUUGACAUCCAGAGAACUUUGCAGAGAUGGUUUGGUGCCUUCGGGAACUCUGAGACAGGUGCUGCAUGGCUGUCGUCAGCUCGUGUUGUGAAAUGUUGGGUUAAGUCCCGCAACGAGCGCAACCCUUAUCCUUCGUUGCCAGCGGUUCGGCCGGGAACUCAAAGGAGACUGCCAGUGAUAAACUGGAGGAAGGUGGGGAUGACGUCAAGUCAUCAUGGCCCUUACGAGUAGGGCUACACACGUGCUACAAUGGCGCAUACAAAGAGAAGCGACCUCGCGAGAGCAAGCGGACCUUCAUAAAGUGCGUCGUAGUCUGGAUUGGAGUCUGCAACUCGACUCCAUGAAGUCGGAAUCGCUAGUAAUCGUGGAUCAGAAUGCCACGGUGAAUACGUUCCCGGGCCUUGUACACACCGCCCGUCACACCAUGGGAGUGGGUUGCAAAAGAAGUAGGUAGCUUA